RNAcentral lists this unclassified non-coding RNA (1618 nucleotides) under Hevea brasiliensis (rubber tree). Lineage: Eukaryota; Viridiplantae; Streptophyta; Magnoliopsida; Malpighiales; Euphorbiaceae. The record is from RNAcentral.
CUUCAUUGCUUUCUUCCAAUGGUAAUGCUCAAAUAAAAAUGCCCAGUCAUGUCAACAGCACCCAUGUUGAUGAUCAUCAAGUAACAUUGAAACUGAAUAAUGGUAGUUGCAAUACUAUACAAUCAAGUACUAAUUAUGGUGAAGUAACACUAAGAACAAUAAGGCUAAUAAUGAUCUUAAUAGCAAUGUUAAAAGCAGUAACUGUUAUUCCACUGCCAUUCAUUCUAACAAAAACUUAUCUCCAACGGCAACGCAAAAGUCAUCAUCCAGUUCUUUCGUCAUGGGAAAGACAGCUUCUCUUUUAACAUAGUAAGGCAGUGAUAAUUAUCAAAAGAAAAAUGAGAAGAUGAAGAAGGUAGUAAGGUAGCUGAAAUGAAUUAAAUGCAUGCCAUACAUAAAUAGCAUCAGGGCAAUUAGUAUUAAAGCAAUUGCUUCAACUUGAAAUUCUGCGAAACAAUUUGGAGGUAGAAGCCACAUAGAAUACAGUACACUGAUUAUCUUUGCAUGCUAAUGAGAAUACAGUUGAUGCGAUCCUAAAGCAGGAGUUAACCCAUCAAAGAAAAGUCACUUAAAAUCUCUCACAAUCCCAAUUCCAAUCAAACCAAUCAAAGGGGAAAGGGAAUAGCCGCCAAUGAGGCCGUAGUCUAAAGCUAGCUAAGGUUGAGGCCCUGGAGCCAAGAGGUCUCAAGUUCAAAUAACACUAGUGUUAGGUUAUUGUAUUUGCAUAUUAUUUGAUUGUUUAUUUGUGUAUGUUUAAUUUGCUAGCAAAUGUACUUUGACUUAGGUCAGUUGCAGUCAUAUCUAAUACCAUUACAAUAUAAUAUGUAUUCUAUCUCCUGGCAAAAAAGGGUGACUCAGUGCACAAAGCAUUUGAUUAGAGUUGAUCUAAGCAGCCUUGCCCUGCUUUGAAGAAAGGCUGUUUCCAUAUUCUAUCUCCUGGCACAAGAAAAAAAAAAUGCAAACACUCACAAACACAGAGGGAAUAGCUAAUCAGCUAAAAUUCAAGCAAAGACUCCAUCAUGUCUCAAACAAAUUCCACAGCUUUAGCUUUAUCGGAUUUGUGAAAUUCAUUUCUUACUUGGUAGCUCCCUUGAAAUGGAAAUUAAAAUGAGAAGUCAAAAUAGUUCAAAGACCACAGGCAGAAACCCAAAGCUACCCUGGUUGAAUUAAUAAAAUAAUUAGUGUGUUAACAGUCAAAAUUAAGAAUCUCACCAUUGAAAGUCCUCCUCACAUAACAAUUCAAAUCCUACAAUAAAGCAACGAACAAAUGUAAAACACUAGAGAAACCCUAGAAUUAGAAAUGGGAAUAGGGAUAAGAAAGAGAGUACUUGAACUGAUUACAGAGAUGACACAUGCAGGGAUUGAAAAAGGUAAGGACAGAGAGAGCGGCGGACCCGAUCCAUAUGUUGAUAAAGCGGUCUGGGUCCGCAUGCCCACUCCUGGCUCUCCUCCGUAUGCAUUUCAAAAGUACUUCUCCAUUAUCGCCUUCUCUGCUACACGGCCCAAGCUUCAAUUGUUUCCUGUACCGUAAGCUUAUCCGCUUAUCAUUGUUUCCCUUUCUUCUACUACUGUUCUUGUGCGGAACAAGAAUUGCUUAUACGGGAACGGGAUAAAAUAA